UUCUGAGCGCGCCCUCCGCGCCCACCUGACAGCUCUCGCUACGUUUUGUUAGCC
RNAcentral lists this small RNA (54 nucleotides) under Xanthomonas oryzae pv. oryzae. RNAcentral describes it as "partial sX9 sRNA". It matches the Rfam family "Xanthomonas sRNA sX9", at positions 23 to 76 of the family's 76-position model. Lineage: Bacteria; Pseudomonadati; Pseudomonadota; Gammaproteobacteria; Lysobacterales; Lysobacteraceae. The record is from RNAcentral.